UCGCCCAUUAUGAAUGGCGUCUCCAGGCUGUGAUCCAGUUGAUUGUAGGCCUCAUAGAAUUUCUUACACUCCACAUUGA
Molecule: small nucleolar RNA, 79 nt
Filed under: Drosophila virilis
Lineage: Eukaryota; Metazoa; Arthropoda; Insecta; Diptera; Drosophilidae
Description: snoRNA:GJ25445
Source: RNAcentral